This 460-nucleotide ribosomal RNA is filed under the name uncultured bacterium. RNAcentral describes it as "partial 16S ribosomal RNA". It matches the Rfam family "Bacterial small subunit ribosomal RNA", at positions 338 to 795 of the family's 1533-position model. The record is from RNAcentral.
CCUACGGGCGGCAGCAGUGAGGAAUAUUGGUCAAUGGACGAGAGUCUGAACCAGCCAAGUAGCGUGAAGGAUGACUGCCCUAUGGGUUGUAAACUUCUUUUAUAUGGGAAUAAAAUGUUCCACGUGUGGGAUUUUGUAUGUACCAUAUGAAUAAGGAUCGGCUAACUCCGUGCCAGCAGCCGCGGUAAUACGGAGGAUCCGAGCGUUAGCCGGAUUUAUUGGGUUUAAAGGGAGCGUAGGUGGAUUGUUAAGUCAGUUGUGAAAGUUUGCGGCUCAACCGUAAAAUUGCAGUUGAAACUGGCAGUCUUGAGUACAGUAGAGGUGGGCGGAAUUCGUGGUGUAGCGGUGAAAUGCUUAGAUAUCACGAAGAACUCCGAUUGCGAAGGCAGUUCACUGGACUGCAACUGACACUGAGGCUCGAAAGUGUGGGUAUCAAACAGGAUUAGAUACCCUUGUAGUC